RNAcentral lists this non-coding RNA (30 nucleotides) under Homo sapiens (human). The record is from RNAcentral. Lineage: Eukaryota; Metazoa; Chordata; Mammalia; Primates; Hominidae.
UCCUGAACCACAGAGUAUUUCUGGGUGGGC